GACGAACGCUGGCGGCGUGCCUAACACAUGCAAGUCGAACGGGGAUAGGUUGAAGGUUUACCUGAUACCUAUUCUAGUGGCGAACGGGUGAGUAACACGUGGGUAACCUGCCCAUAAGAGGGGGAUAACAUCCGGAAACGGGUGCUAAUACCGCAUGGUUUUCUUGAUCGCAUGAUUGAGAAAGGAAAGGCGGCCUUUGUGCUGUCGCUUAUGGAUGGACCCGCGGCGUAUUAGUUAGUUGGUGAGGUAACGGCUCACCAAGACGAUGAUACGUAGCCGACCUGAGAGGGUGAUCGGCCACAUUGGGACUGAGACACGGCCCAAACUCC
RNAcentral lists this ribosomal RNA (329 nucleotides) under uncultured bacterium. RNAcentral describes it as "bacterial SSU rRNA". It matches the Rfam family "Bacterial small subunit ribosomal RNA", at positions 28 to 339 of the family's 1533-position model. The record is from RNAcentral.